UCUCCGUUGGUGAACCAGCGGAGGGAUCAUUAAAGAGUUCUAUAACUCCCAAAACCCAUGUGAACAUACCCUACGUUGCCUCGGCAGGUCGCGUCUACCUCGUAGCGCCCUACCCUGUAGGGCCUACCCGGCAGACCCGGGUAAGCCUGCCGGCGGCCCACGAAACUCUGUUUAAUAUUGAAUUCUGAACCUAUAACUAAAUAAGUUAAAACUUUCAACAACGGAUCUCUUGGUUCUG
Molecule: unclassified non-coding RNA, 238 nt
Filed under: plant metagenome
Description: partial contains small subunit ribosomal RNA, internal transcribed spacer 1, and 5.8S ribosomal RNA
Source: RNAcentral